CCUACGGGAGGCAGCAGUGAGGAAUAUUGCACAAUGGGGGCAACCCUGAUGCAGCGACGCCGCGUGAGUGAAGAAGUAUUUCGGUGUGUAAAGCUCUAUCAGCAGGGAAGAAAAUGACGGUACCUGAUUAUGAAGCCCCGGCUAACUACGUGCCAGCAGCCGCGGUACUACGUAGGGGGCAAGCGUUAUCCGGAUUUACUGGGUGUAAAGGGAGCGUAGACGGGUGCACAAGUCUGGAGUGAAAGGCCGGGGCUUAACCCCGGAACUGCUUUGGAAACUGUGCAGCUAGAGUGCAGGUGAGGUAAGUGGAAUUCGUAGUGUAGCGGUGAAAUGCGUAGAUAUUAGGAGGAACACCAGUGGCGAAGGCAGCUUACUGGACUGUAACUGACGUUGAGGCUCGAAAGUGUGGGGAGCAAACAGGAUUAGAUACCCGUGUAGUC
Molecule: ribosomal RNA, 440 nt
Filed under: uncultured bacterium
Lineage: Bacteria
Description: partial 16S ribosomal RNA
Rfam family: Bacterial small subunit ribosomal RNA
Source: RNAcentral